This 479-nucleotide ribosomal RNA is filed under the name uncultured Planctomycetota bacterium. RNAcentral's name for it is "bacterial SSU rRNA". It matches the Rfam family "Bacterial small subunit ribosomal RNA", at positions 364 to 833 of the family's 1533-position model. Lineage: Bacteria; Pseudomonadati; Planctomycetota. The record is from RNAcentral.
UUUCGCAAUGCCCGAAAGGGUGACGAAGCGACGCCGCGUGUGGGAAGAAGGCCUUCGGGUUGUAAACCACUGUCGGGAGUUAGGAAAUGUAAGGGUGCUAAUAGUACCCUUACUUGACUAAGGCUCCGGAGGAAGCCACGGCUAACUCUGUGCCAGCAGCCGCGGUAAUACAGAGGCGGCAAGCGUUGUUCGGAAUUAUUGGGCGUAAAGAGCACGUAGGCGGCCUUGUAAGUCAGUUGUGAAAGCCUUCUGCUUAACGGAAGAACAGCAGCUGAUACUGCAAGGCUAGAGUGCGGAAGGGGAGAGUGGAACUUCUGGUGGAGCGGUGAAAUGCGUAGAUAUCAGAAGGAACACCGGCGGCGAAGGCGACUCUCUGGUCCGUAACUGACGCUGAGUGUGCGAAAGCUAGGGGAGCAAACGGGAUUAGAUACCCCGGUAGUCCUAGCCGUAAACGAUGGGCACUAAGUAGAGGGGUUUUA